This 71-nucleotide transfer RNA is filed under the name Chelonus insularis. Its description in RNAcentral is "tRNA-Gly". It matches the Rfam family "tRNA". From Rfam's summary of the family: Transfer RNA (tRNA) molecules are approximately 80 nucleotides in length. The record is from RNAcentral. Lineage: Eukaryota; Metazoa; Arthropoda; Insecta; Hymenoptera; Braconidae.
GCACUGCUGGUGUAGUGGUAUCAUGCAAGACUCCCAUCCUUGCGAUCCGGGUUCGAUUCCCGGGCAGUGCA